This 253-nucleotide ribosomal RNA is filed under the name uncultured bacterium. RNAcentral's name for it is "partial 16S ribosomal RNA". It matches the Rfam family "Bacterial small subunit ribosomal RNA", at positions 524 to 776 of the family's 1533-position model. The record is from RNAcentral.
UACGUAGGGGGCAAGCGUUGUCCGGAUUCAUUGGGCGUAAAGAGCGUGUAGGCGGCCAGGUAGGUCGGUUGUGAAAACUGGAGGCUCAACCUUCAGAGGUCGACCGAAACCAUCUGGCUAGAGUCCGGGAGAGGAGAGUGGAAUUCCUGGUGUAGCGGUGAAAUGCGCAGAUAUCAGGAGGAACACCGGUGGCGAAGGCGGAUCUCUGGGCCUUACCUGACGCUCAGGCGCGAAAGCUAGGGGAGCGAACAGG